Molecule: ribosomal RNA, 460 nt
Filed under: uncultured bacterium
Lineage: Bacteria
Description: partial 16S ribosomal RNA
Rfam family: Bacterial small subunit ribosomal RNA
Source: RNAcentral
CCUACGGGAGGCAGCAGUGAGGAAUAUUGGUCAAUGGCCGUAAGGCUGAACCAGCCAAGUAGCGUGAAGGAUGACGGCUCUACGGUUUGUAAACUUCUUUUAUAGAGGAAUAAAGGGAGCCACGUGUGGAUAUUUGUAUGUACUGUAUGAAUAAGGAUCGGCUAACUCCGUGCCAGCAGCCGCGGUAAUACGGAGGAUCCGAGCGUUAUCCGGAUUUAUUGGGUUUAAAGGGAGCGUAGAUGGGUUGUUAAGUCAGUGGUGAAAGUUUGUGGCUCAACCAUAAAAUUGCCAUUGAUACUGGAAGACUUGAGUGCAGUUGAGGUAGGCGGAAUGCGUGGUGUAGCGGUGAAAUGCUUAGAUAGCACGAAGAACUCCGAUUGCGAAGGCAGCUUACUAAGCUACAACUGACACUGAAGCACGAAAGUGUGGGGAUCAAACAGGAUUAGAUACCCCAGUAGUC